Manis pentadactyla (Chinese pangolin) is the source of this 687-nucleotide long non-coding RNA. RefSeq lists it as uncharacterized. The transcript is spliced from 2 exons. NCBI's taxonomy places the organism in Eukaryota, Metazoa, Chordata, Mammalia, Pholidota, Manidae. The record is from RefSeq and is a predicted model, not a curated record.
AGUCACUGUUUUGUUGUUCCUGGACUGGUAAAGAACUGGAUUUCAGCAGAACAGGUAUUAGUUACAUAAGAUUACAUAAACUAAAGAAAAUAGUUUUGUGUCUUUUUGUUUCGAAUGUUGCUGAUAGAGUGUUUUGAGCUUGUUCUCUUAAGCUGACAACAGUUUAGUAGAUAGCUGUCUUUAUAAGCAGAAUUGAGACAUCCUUCUCUCUACCUGAUCCCUACAGAGUUUAAAAACUUUCGGUGACUGUUUUUGUAUUCCAUGGCAGUAUGUUUAUUUGCACGAGUUUAGUAAGAAUCUGCUUUCCUUGUGAGAAGACUAAUUAAGAACACUGGUUAUACUGCCAGGGCUUUGGCUGAAAUGUCAUACCUGGGAGACAUGUGCAUGGACUCAGAUGUGAACAACUUUAAAGAACUAAGAUUGACUUUAUAGAGCCAACAAAGCCCCUUGGAAGAACUAGCCUAGUACCUUGCUUGCAGAGUUCCCAGCAGCCUUCCCAGAAGCCACAAAACUGCAAAUAGUAAUAAAAACGAAACCCAGAAUAGAAGCGCCAGCCUUCUGAGGCCCUCUCAACUGACCAGUGAUAGAGACCUAGCUGCACCCUUUACUGCGCCCCCUUCUCAGCACGAAGCAGCCAGAGCGGUCAUCGCCCCUUUUCCCUAGCAGCAGCUAGAGUCUCUACCUGUA